RNAcentral lists this ribosomal RNA (470 nucleotides) under uncultured organism. Its description in RNAcentral is "partial 16S ribosomal RNA". It matches the Rfam family "Bacterial small subunit ribosomal RNA", at positions 335 to 797 of the family's 1533-position model. The record is from RNAcentral.
ACUCCUGCGGGAGGCAGCAGUGGGGAAUUUUGGACACUGGGCGAAAGCCUGAUCCAGCAAUGCCGCGUGAGUGAAGAAGGCCUUCGGGUUGUAAAGCUCUUUUGUCAGGGAAGAAACGGUGAAAGCUAAUAUCUUUUGCUAAUGACGGUACCUGAAGAAUAAGCACCGGCUAACUACGUGCCAGCAGCCGCGGUAAUACGUAGGGUGCAAGCGUUAAUCGGAAUUACUGGGCGUAAAGCGUGCGCAGGCGGUUUUGUAAGUCUGAUGUGAAAUCCCCGGGCUCAACCUGGGAAUUGCAUUGGAGACUGCAAGGCUAGAAUCUGGCAGAGGGGGGUAGAAUUCCACGUGUAGCAGUGAAAUGCGUAGAUAUGUGGAGGAACACCGAUGGCGAAGGCAGCCCCCUGGGUCAAGAUUGACGCUCAUGCACGAAAGCGUGGGGAGCAAACAGGAUUAGAUACCCUUGUAGUCCC